RNAcentral lists this non-coding RNA (202 nucleotides) under Morus notabilis. Its description in RNAcentral is "Bacterial large subunit ribosomal RNA". It matches the Rfam family "Bacterial large subunit ribosomal RNA", at positions 1809 to 2004 of the family's 2925-position model. Lineage: Eukaryota; Viridiplantae; Streptophyta; Magnoliopsida; Rosales; Moraceae. The record is from Rfam by way of RNAcentral.
CUACGUACGUACUUCUAACAAAAUCGUAAGAUCGUGUAUGGGAUUUGACACUUGCCCAGUGUUAGAAGGUCAAGGAAGUUGGUGACUUGAUGAUACGAGACCCCGCAACCAAAACCCUAGUGAACGGCGGCUUCAGCUAUGAUGGUUCCUUAGGUAGCGAAAUUCCUCGUCAAACUAGUUUCGACCCGCGCAAAAGGCAUGA